This 781-nucleotide ribosomal RNA is filed under the name Sylvilagus andinus. RNAcentral describes it as "Sylvilagus brasiliensis andinus partial 12S ribosomal RNA". It matches the Rfam family "Bacterial small subunit ribosomal RNA", at positions 15 to 1341 of the family's 1533-position model. Lineage: Eukaryota; Metazoa; Chordata; Mammalia; Lagomorpha; Leporidae. The record is from RNAcentral.
GGUCCUGGCCUUUUUAUUGUUUCGUAGCAAGUUUACACAUGCAAGCAUCCCCGCACCGGUGAGAAUGCCCUCAAUAUCGAUGCAGAUCAAGAGGAGCAGGUAUUAAGCACACUAAUUAGUAGCUCAAGAUGCCUUGCUUAACCACACCCCCAAGGGAAACAGCAGUGAUAAAAAUUUAGCAAUAAACGCAAGUUUGACUAAGUUAUGCUACUUUAGGGUUGGUAAAUUUCGUGCCAGCCACCGCGGUCAUACGAUUAACCCAAACUAAUAAACUCCCCGGCGUAAAGCGUGAUUAGAAUUAAAACAAAAAUAAAAUCAAAUAACAACUAAGCUGUAAAAAGUAAUAGUUACAAAUAAAAAUAAACAACGAAAGUGAUUUUACAACCUUCGAACUCACGAUAGCUAAGACCCAAACUGGGAUUAGAUACCCCACUAUGCUUAGCCCUAAACUUAAAUAAUUCCCUAACAAAAUUACUCGCCAGAGAACUACAAGCCAGAGCUUAAAACUCAAAGGACUUGGCGGUGCUUUAUACCCCCCUAGAGGAGCCUGUUCUAUAAUCGAUAAACCCCGAUAAACCUUACCACUCUUUGCCAACUCAGCCUAUAUACCGCCAUCUUCAGCGAACCCUAAAAAGGAACAAAAGUAAGCUCAACUAUCACCAUAAAAACGUUAGGUCAAGGUGUAGCCUAUAGAGUGGAAAGUAAUGGGCUACAUUUUCUUCUUCAGAACAUACGAAAGCCCUUAUGAAACUCUAAGGGCCAAAGGAGGAUUUAGUAGUAA